This 253-nucleotide ribosomal RNA is filed under the name uncultured prokaryote. Its description in RNAcentral is "partial 16S ribosomal RNA". It matches the Rfam family "Bacterial small subunit ribosomal RNA", at positions 524 to 776 of the family's 1533-position model. The record is from RNAcentral.
UACGGGGGGGGCUAGCGUUGUCCGGAAUUAUUGGGCGUAAAGGGCGCGUAGGCGGAAUGGUAAGUCAGUGGUGAAAUCUCGAGGCUUAACUUCGAGUCUGCCUCUGAAACUGCUGUUCUUGAGUGCGGAAGAGGAAAGCGGAAUUCCCGGUGUAGCGGUGAAAUGCGUAGAUAUCGGGAAGAACACCAGUAGCGAAGGCGGCUUUCUGGUCCGUCACUGACGCUGAGGCGCGAAAGCGUGGGUAGCAAACAGG